This 1169-nucleotide ribosomal RNA is filed under the name unidentified. Its description in RNAcentral is "Arthrobotrys vermicola partial large subunit ribosomal RNA". It matches the Rfam family "Eukaryotic large subunit ribosomal RNA", at positions 87 to 1281 of the family's 3401-position model. The record is from RNAcentral.
CGGCGAGUGAAGCGGCAACAGCUCAAAUUUGAAAUCUGGAGCCUUCGGCUUCCGAGUUGUAAUUUGAAGAGGAUGUUUCGGUGCGACCUGGGCCUAAGUUCCUUGGAACAGGACGUCAUGGAGGGUGAGAAUCCCGUACAUGGCUGCAGGUUUGCUUCUAUGUGAAACUCCUUCGAAGAGUCGAGUUGUUUGGGAAUGCAGCUCAAAAUGGGUGGUAAAUUUCAUCUAAAGCUAAAUAUUGGCGGGAGACCGAUAGCGCACAAGUAGAGUGAUCGAAAGAUGAAAAGCACUUUGAAAAGAGAGUUAAACAGUACGUGAAAUUGUUGAAAGGGAAGCGCUUGCAAUCAGACUCGCCUUCAGUUGAUCAGCCUUCCUUCUGGUUGGUGCACUCUGCUGUUGGCGGGCCAGCAUCAGUUGGGGCGGUGGGACAAAGGCGGCAGGAAUGUGGCUCGCUUCGGUGAGUGUUAUAGCCUGCUGCGUCAUGCCACCAGCCCCGACUGAGGUCCGCGGUUCGCCUAGGAUGCUGGCUUAAUGGUUGUAAGCGACCCGUCUUGAAACACGGACCAAGGAGUCUAACAUCUAUGCGAGUCUUUGGGUGUCAAACCCAUGGGCGAAAUGAAAGUGAACGGAGGUGGGAGUCUUCGGAUGCACCAUCGACCGAUCCUGAUGUUCUCGGAUGGAUUUGAGUAGGAGCAUAGCUGUUGGGACCCGAAAGAUGGUGAACUAUGCCUGAAUAGGGUGAAGCCAGAGGAAACUCUGGUGGAGGCUUCGCAGCGGUUCUGACGUGCAAAUCGAUCGUCAAAUUUGGGUAUAGGGGCGAAAGACUAAUCGAACUAGUAGCUGGUUCCUGCCGAAGUUUCCCUCAGGAUAGCAGUAACGUUUUCAGUUUUAUGAGGUAAAGCGAAUGAUUAGAGGCCUUGGGGUUGAAACAACCUUAACCUAUUCUCAAACUUUAAAUAUGUAAGAAAUCCUUGUUACUUAGGUGAACGUGGAUAUUUGAAUGUAUCGUUACUAGUGGGCCAUUUUUGGUAAGCAGAACUGGCGAUGCGGGAUGAACCGAACGUGGGGUUAAGGUGCCGGAAUGUACGCUCAUCAGACACCACAAAAGGUGUUGAUUCAUCUAGACAGCAGGACGGUGGCCAUGGAAGUCGGAAUCCGCUAAGGAGUGU